Molecule: ribosomal RNA, 244 nt
Filed under: uncultured bacterium
Lineage: Bacteria
Description: partial 16S ribosomal RNA
Rfam family: Bacterial small subunit ribosomal RNA
Source: RNAcentral
GAUCCUGGCUCAGGACGAACGCUGGCGGCGUGCUUAACACAUGCAAGUCGAACGGAGAACUUAUUUCGGUAAGUUCUUAGCGGCGAACGGGUGAGUAACGCGUGGGCAACCUGCCCUCCAGUUGGGGACAACAUUCCGAAAGGGAUGCUAAUACCGAAUGUGCUCCCUCCUCCGCAUGGAGGAGGGAGGAAAGAUGGCCUCUGCUUGCAAGCUAUCGCUGGAAGAUGGGCCCGCGUCUGAUUAG